Molecule: unclassified non-coding RNA, 241 nt
Filed under: Hevea brasiliensis (rubber tree)
Lineage: Eukaryota; Viridiplantae; Streptophyta; Magnoliopsida; Malpighiales; Euphorbiaceae
Source: RNAcentral
AACAAGAUGAGGCUGUGCACCAUCUGAUUGCCAAUAGGUUUCAAGGUUAUCAUCGCGAAGUGAAAGAACUCCAUUGCCAGGUUUAUAAGAGCUGACACUCCAAGCUGCUUUUUUACCCAUCUCCCGGAGAUCAUCAUCCACAACUAACUGCUGGCUUCCUCCUGUUAGUUUCCCUUCUUCCUCACCCUCUGAUGAAUCCGCCAUUGAUUAAGCUCUUAAUUUCAACUAGAUAAAAUCCCCA